This 45-nucleotide non-coding RNA is filed under the name Echinostoma caproni. The record is from RNAcentral. Lineage: Eukaryota; Metazoa; Platyhelminthes; Trematoda; Plagiorchiida; Echinostomatidae.
GCACUGCUGACGAGUCUCAAACAGGACGAAAUAGCUGUCCAGUGC